UACGGGGGGCGCAAGCGUUGCUCGGAAUCACUGGGCGUAAAGCGUACGCAGGCGGCACGUUAAGUCGGGUGUGAAAGCCCGGGGCUCAACCCCGGAAUUGCAUUCGAUACUGGCGUGCUUGAGUACGGUAGAGGGAAGCGGAAUUCCUGGUGUAGAGGUGAAAUUCGUAGAUAUCAGGAGGAACAUCAGUGGCGAAAGCGGCUUCCUGGUCCGAUACUGACGCUCAUGUACGAAAGCGUGGGGAGCAAACAGG
Molecule: ribosomal RNA, 253 nt
Filed under: uncultured bacterium
Lineage: Bacteria
Description: partial 16S ribosomal RNA
Rfam family: Bacterial small subunit ribosomal RNA
Source: RNAcentral